RNAcentral lists this long non-coding RNA (1022 nucleotides) under Nicotiana benthamiana. Its description in RNAcentral is "long non-coding RNA (NBEN_LNC012555)". The record is from RNAcentral. Lineage: Eukaryota; Viridiplantae; Streptophyta; Magnoliopsida; Solanales; Solanaceae.
UAAACUGGCUUGCGUUCCUCCUUCCCCUUCUUCCUCUAUUAGUUAUUCCUCUACUUCUGCUUGUUCUGUGUCUGCUUCUUGUAAUGAUGACAUUUUGUCUGAUAACAAGGCUGUUCUAUUGCCCUCACAUGUACAUAGUUCCAUGUGUAAUAAUGUUGUUACAACUGACAUGAAUUACAUUUGGCAUUUAAGACUUGCUCAUACUUCAUUUACAGAUGAGACAUAUUUCUGGUUUGUCUUUCCCAUUUGCUUCUAAACAACCUUUCCCCCGCUCUGUCUGUCCUAUGGCAAGACAGACUAGACUCCCCUUUCCUGAUAGUUCUAUUAACACCUCUAGACCCUUUCAAUUGAUUCAUGUGGAUACUUGGGGUCCUUAUCAUACUCCAACUUCUUAUGGUUGUAGAUAUUUCCUUACAAUUGUUGGUGAUUUCUCUAGGGCAACCUGGACACACUUAAUGGGAUCCAAAAGCAAUGCUUUUUCUCUGCUUAAGUCAUUCCUUUCUCUGGUUAAAACCCAAUUUAAUGCUGUGGUUCAAACUGUUAGAAGUGACAAUGCUUUAGAAUUUGGGUCUAGCAUUGAGGGUAUAUCUUUCUUUUGUAGUCAGGGGAUUCUUCAUCAAACCACCUGCCCGCAUUCUCCCCAACAGAAUGGUGUUGUUGAAAGAAAACAUAGAACCCUCCUUGAAACAUGUAGAGCUUUACUUUUCCAAUCUGGGUUACCUGUGUCUUUCUGGGGGACUGUUUGUUGACUACCACUUACCUCCUUAACAGAAUACCAUCCAGAUUACUUCACAUUAAGUCUCCUAAUGAAAUUUUGUAUGGGAUGGCUCCCACCUAUUCUCAUUUGAGAGCAUUUGGGUGCCUUGCCUAUGCUACUGUCCCAAUCCCUCAAAGGGACAAGUUAAGUCCAAAAGCCAUUUCUUGUGUUUUCCUUGGUUAUCCUUUUGCUACUUACCUCCUUAACAGAAUACCAUCCAAAUUACUUCACCAUAAGUCUCCUCAUGAAAUUUUUUAUGGGAAAG